AGCAUGGACAGCCUGGAUCUGCUGGGUGAAGGGAGAAGUUAUGUCCAGGGUGGGACAGAGAGGAUGGCGAGAGAUUUCCUCACUGCUCAGAACAGUGGGAAAUUCAAAACUUAGGGAUUAUUUCUGAAAUUUUCCAUUUAAAAAUUUCCAUUUAUAAUUGACCAAGGGUAACUGAAACCAGAGAAAGCAAGACUGAGGAUAAGGGAGGGGCCUCCUGUACUCCAAGAGCACUGAAUCCGGAAAAACUCAACACAUUGAUGGAGUCAUAUAUUUAAUUUUUUCUUAAAAGCCACCUGCGGGAUAUUGUAGAAACACUGCGCUGCCAAUCACAGCUUGUGAUGUGACACAUUCAUUCUGCAAGUUUAAACUUCCCCUAGCAAAUCUUUAUGAGCACCUACUAUGCAUCAGGCUGUUGUCGUGAAUAAAACAAGAUCCAUAUCCCGAGGGAGUGUGCCUUCCAGGAGAGAAAGACGGCAAUGUAUUGGUUCUUGGGGAAAAGCUGUGUUUCAGAGACAAGAUUGAAGAACUUCACCUGCAUAUGAUGGAGGAUGAGAAUGGGAACCACAGGUGUCAUUGGUGGUUUUGUUUUACAAAGUCUUCACAUUUCUGCUGAGUCACGGGACUAAGUUCAACACAAUUUCUACUUUCCGCCUUCCUUUGGAAUAAUAGUUUUGGAAGCCAAGUAUUAGUAUAUGAUAUCAGGUGUGUUCUCUAAAGAUUCAGGUUCAGUGGGCUGAAUGCACUUUUGUGACUUCUUUAGACCACUGAGCCCAAGGAGAAAAGUGCCAAUCUUACUAGACAUGAGGAAAAAGACACAUCUUUUGCUCUUGCUGGAAGUGACUUUCUACAAGCAGUCAUCAUCUG
RNAcentral lists this small RNA (864 nucleotides) under Pongo abelii (Sumatran orangutan). Its description in RNAcentral is "processed transcript". Lineage: Eukaryota; Metazoa; Chordata; Mammalia; Primates; Hominidae. The record is from RNAcentral.